RNAcentral lists this ribosomal RNA (634 nucleotides) under Hemidoryctes carbonarius. RNAcentral's name for it is "eukaryotic LSU rRNA". It matches the Rfam family "Eukaryotic large subunit ribosomal RNA", at positions 386 to 798 of the family's 3401-position model. Lineage: Eukaryota; Metazoa; Arthropoda; Insecta; Hymenoptera; Braconidae. The record is from RNAcentral.
CCUGAGAAACCCAAAAGAUCGAAUGGGGAGAUUCAUCGUCAGCGCAUUUUGUAUAUCUGUAAGUUGUGAUGCGGGUUACUUUCGAGUAUUGCCUGCACAUUCUUACAUUGGAUUUAGUUGCAAGAUGUCGUCGGCGUGCACUUCUCCCCUAGUAGGACGUCGCGACCCGUUGGGUGUCGGUCUACGGCCCAAGUGUGUAGCCUUUAAUAUUUUAUUAUAUUGAAGACCCUUGGUGUUUUCUGACCGACUGGUCGGCGGUACUCGUACGGUAUUUAGCCGCAUAUUAUAUGCGUCCAUAUCCGUCACAAGCGAGGUUUUUGAUUUCAGUAGUACGGACCUAGUGCCGUCGCUGUAUCUAAUCCGCUGUUGGUUGUACGGUAUUCUAGGACUGGCUAUUAUUAUUACCGGUCGCCGAUGCUACUGCUUUGGGUACUUUCAGGACCCGUCUUGAAACACGGACCAAGGAGUCUAACAUGUGCGCGAGUCAUUGGGAUUUUUUAAAAAUUAAACCUAAAGGCGUAAUGAAAGUAAAGAUCGGCCUUGUGUCGAUUGAGGGAGGAUGAAUUGUAUGAUUAACAUGCAGUUCCGCACUCCCGGGGCGUCUCAUUCUCAUUAUGAGAAGAGGAGCACCUAG